GGUGUAUCAAACCAAUGGAUUACAUAGCAAUGGAGGAAGCUGUGUUUAUUGGUCUCACUGAAAACAGAAAAAUGAAAGAUUUAAGGGAGAAAGAGACCUUCACAAGCCUUCAAAUCCAUGUUUUCAGACUUCACUCCCCUGUAACCUUAAACAGAGAGCUGUUUUUCCUGUUCAAGCUCACAGCAAACCAUAGGCAUCAAAGGAGACCUGCCUUUAAGAGUGAAAAUAUGUCCAGUGCCCUGACGUGGCUCCAUGUUUUUGGAGGGGGCUGGUGAGGUCUGAGAACACAUGGGUG
Molecule: long non-coding RNA, 295 nt
Organism: Hyaena hyaena (striped hyena)
Lineage: Eukaryota; Metazoa; Chordata; Mammalia; Carnivora; Hyaenidae
Exons: 3
Source: RefSeq, a predicted model, not a curated record